GAUGAACGCUGGCGGCGUGCCUAAUACAUGCAAGUCGAGCGAACAGACGAGGAGCUUGCUCCUCUGACGUUAGCGGCGGACGGGUGAGUAACACGUGGAUAACCUACCUAUAAGACUGGGAUAACUUCGGGAAACCGGAGCUAAUACCGGAUAAUAUAUUGAACCGCAUGGUUCAAUAGUGAAAGACGGUUUUGCUGUCACUUAUAGAUGGAUCCGCGCCGCAUUAGCUAGUUGGUAAGGUAACGGCUUACCAAGGCAACGAUGCGUAGCCGACCUGAGAGGGUGAUCAGCCACACUGGAACUGAGACACGGUCCAGACUCCUACGGGAGGCAGCAGUAGGGAAUCUUCCGCAAUGGGCGAAAGCCUGACGGAGCAACGCCGCGUGAGUGAUGAAGGUCUUCGGAUCGUAAAACUCUGUUAUUAGGGAAGAACAAAAGUGUAAGUAACUAUGCACGUCUUGACGGUACCUAAUCAGAAAGCCACGGCUAACUACGUG
This 497-nucleotide ribosomal RNA is filed under the name uncultured bacterium. RNAcentral's name for it is "partial 16S ribosomal RNA". It matches the Rfam family "Bacterial small subunit ribosomal RNA", at positions 28 to 507 of the family's 1533-position model. The record is from RNAcentral.